UGAUCAUACAAGCUCUUGCAGCUUUAGAAAAUGGCAAGUCACCUCAAGUCUGGCUUGCGCAUCUUAAACAGUAAACCUUUGACAUGGUCGUUACACCCCAAGUUAUUAUAACAUUGCACUGGGAUUGACAUGACUUUGCUUGUUAUUCUCUUAGUGUUGGAAAGCCCUUGCACUCUGCCGGUCUUACUGCCAUUGCACGCAGAUGGGUUUCCACACUAGUGCUUUUCUAUCGCCUUAAAGUCCGUGCCUUUCUUUCAGGGUGCUGUCAACUUGUUUGUUGUUAUAAACAGCCACAGUUCAGCCUCAGCUAUCCCCCUUCGUCCACCAUCAUCACGAUACAGGAUGCGAGGCAAGGCACUGCACUUGAGUGAUCCUUGACGUGGACCUCAAGGAGAGCAUGUCCUAUUGCAUGCGGGUUAGACGCGUCCACGCCCCGCCCCACGAAAAAAGGCGUCGGCUGAUAUGGCAAG
This 470-nucleotide long non-coding RNA is filed under the name Marmota monax (woodchuck). The record is from RNAcentral. Lineage: Eukaryota; Metazoa; Chordata; Mammalia; Rodentia; Sciuridae.